UACGAAGGUGGCAAGCGUUGUUCGGAUUUACUGGGCGUACAGGGAGCGUAGGCGGUUGGAUAAGCCCUCCGUGAAAUCUCCAGGCUUAACCUGGAAAGUGCAGAGGGGACUGUUCAGCUAGAGGAUGGGAGAGGAGCGCGGAAUUCCCGGUGUAGCGGUGAAAUGCGUAGAUAUCAGGAGGAACACCAGUGGCGAAGGCGGUGCUCUGGGCCGGAACUGACGCUGAGGAGCGAAAGCGUGGGGAGCAAACAGG
Molecule: ribosomal RNA, 253 nt
Filed under: uncultured bacterium
Lineage: Bacteria
Description: partial 16S ribosomal RNA
Rfam family: Bacterial small subunit ribosomal RNA
Source: RNAcentral